This 21-nucleotide unclassified non-coding RNA is filed under the name Dictyostelium discoideum. The record is from RNAcentral. Lineage: Eukaryota; Evosea; Eumycetozoa; Dictyosteliales; Dictyosteliaceae.
UACUUGGACGAUCUAUUAAUC